RNAcentral lists this small nuclear RNA (103 nucleotides) under Tursiops truncatus (common bottlenose dolphin). The record is from RNAcentral. Lineage: Eukaryota; Metazoa; Chordata; Mammalia; Artiodactyla; Delphinidae.
GUGCUUGCUUUGACAGCACAUACACUAACAUUGGAAUGAUACAGAGAUUAGCUUGGCCCCUGCACGAGAUGACACGCAAAUUCGCGAAGCGUUCCAUAUCUUU